CGAUGCAACGCGAAGAACCUUACCUGGUCUUGACAUCCCGGAGACCCUUAGGAAACUAGGGGUGCUUCCAUCUGGAAGAAUCUGGAGACAGGUGCUGCAUGGCUGUCGUCAGCUCGUGUCGUGAGAUGUUGGGUUAAGUCCCGCAACGAGCGCAACCCUUGCCUUUAGUUGCCAGCAGUUCGGCUGGGCACUCUAAAGGGACUGCCGGUGUUAAACCGGAGGAAGGUGGGGAUGACGUCAAGUCCUCAUGGCCUUUAUGACCAGGGCUACACACGUACUACAAUGGCCGAUACAAAGGGCAGCGACACUGCGAGGUGAAGCCAAUCCCGUAAAAUCGGUCUCAGUCCGGAUUGGAGUCUGCAACUCGACUCCAUGAAGUUGGAAUCGCUAGUAAUCGUGGAUCAGCAUGCCACGGUGAAUACGUUCCCGGGCCUU
RNAcentral lists this ribosomal RNA (435 nucleotides) under uncultured Desulfobulbus sp. RNAcentral describes it as "bacterial SSU rRNA". It matches the Rfam family "Bacterial small subunit ribosomal RNA", at positions 952 to 1382 of the family's 1533-position model. Lineage: Bacteria; Pseudomonadati; Thermodesulfobacteriota; Desulfobulbia; Desulfobulbales; Desulfobulbaceae. The record is from RNAcentral.